Molecule: long non-coding RNA, 2914 nt
Organism: Oreochromis niloticus (Nile tilapia)
Lineage: Eukaryota; Metazoa; Chordata; Actinopteri; Cichliformes; Cichlidae
Exons: 2
Source: RefSeq, a predicted model, not a curated record
UCUCAGGUGUGACUGAAGUACACUGGAAGUUUAUUUUGGAAACCUUGGUGGCAUUAGAGUCGGGACGGAGCAGGAAGCUGUCGUCUGAGUGCACGCCAUCAGACCCCCGGUUCUAAAAAUAAGUUAUCUGUUUCUGUUAUGUUCACCUUUACAGACCCACAGCAUCCACGUCAGGUCGGAGUCAUAAUGUCACCCAUCCUGUACUGUGAAGGUGGAUCCUUCUUAUCAGGGUUUAUCAUCAUGGCAACUGAUGUUGCCCAGGAGUAGGGGAGUUUCUAGAUUAGAGAUCAGCAGGUAUGAAAUAACUGAGCAAUCAGAUCUCUGGAAAUUAGCGUCACACUCCCUAAAGAUCCCUCUGAGCUGUUCAGCAGUGUUUUGUUCUGUCAGCAUUUAAACAGGUUUUAUUCUUUCCUCUCAGCGUUAAAGUCCACCGAGUCUGCAGCUCAGAGGAUAAAAGCUAAGACCGUCUUUAACACAUUAAUGAAACACUCGAUCGUAAAGACACGGCUGUGAUAUUAAUCAGUCUGUUCUGUCACACAGGCUAAACUUUAUUAAUACAGCAGCUCUUCCAGUGUUUACACACACACACGCACACGGGUCCUCCUUUGUGAAAUCAGCCGCUCUGCUGUGAGCACAUUUAUCCAUGUUUCUGAUUGGUCAGAUGCUGCUAGCCCCGCGCCUUGAACGUACAGGUUAGACCCUGGGUGAACUCAGCCAGGUGAAACAGGCUGAUGUUAGGAUAAGUGAACGUAGAUAACGGACAGUUAUUUUUUUAUCUGAUAAUUAAAUUCGGUCUUUUUUUUCUUCGUAUUGUUGAGAUUAGGACGAGAUCGCAGUUCGAGUCAUCAGCACUAACCCCGCCCAUCGAGAAAAUCAGGAUUUAUGCUCCUGCUCUCUGGUGGCACACAGAAAAGGAUUGUGGGAAUUCAACCUGCGCAGAAGCUACAGAGAAACGUUCAGCCCAGGACAUCACUAACCAAUCAAAAGCUCUGUUUCUGAUGAAGAACACUGGUUGGAGCAAAGCCUCGGUGGGAUCUGAAAGGAUCUGCUGACACUCGUCCAGGUUGAUUCCAUUUAUUUAAAUUAAUGCACUGUGCCCCCCCCCCCCCGGUGGGCUGCGAUGGUACUGCAGGUGGGCCACAGUAACAAGUUUAAGUUACUCAUGUACAGUUAUUUGUUUAUAUGCAUGAAUUUGAAUGAAAGUGAAUUGGAGCUGGUAUCACCAGUGUCCCAGAUUACAGCUGUUCUAUUUGCUGAAACUUUUUCUGUAUUUUUGCCAGCGUUGCUCCUCGAGGACCUCAGGCUCCUCCCUGGUUGUGUGCGUCCUGUGAAAGGAGGUCCAGGCUGAUGAGGAGGAGGAAGAGGCUGAGCUGGGAGUUCAGUCUCCGCUGUAGAUGAUCUUUAUGGUGGCCACGUCUCGCUCCUCUGCAGACUCGGCGCCUCUCUGAGUGUUUCCUGUAGAGAAGAGGCUCGAGUUGACCUGGAGGAUCCACUCUGUGAUCCUCUCCUCGCUGUAGUACUCGUCAUCACUGCCAUCCUCCUCCUCCGGUGUCUCUACAUGACCUCUGACCUCUGAGUCCUCAGAUAAUGUUUCAGCAGCUGAGUCAUCGGAGCAGAACUCUCUCUGCUGCCGCCGCUCCUCACAGGCGCCGCCAUCAUCUUUAACCGUGACCAGCAUCGUCGUCGCACGGCCACCGUCCACACCAAUGAUGUCAUCACUCUUCUGCUGUUCCAGCCGCUCAGCGAGCGCCGGUCUGCCGUGGAUUUCGCUGAGUCUGUCCGAUUUCUGGAUUGGUUUCCCCCGCUUUGCCACAAACACAUGAAGGAUCGUAUUUCUGAUGGCAGGCGGAGCUGCAGGGACUUCUCCUCUGCCGCCGACGGGUCUGGAGCCCCUGAUGGGCGGCAGAGGGAUGUUAGCGGCCUGUUUCAGCUCAGAUUGGCCUGUUUGUGAUGACCUUUGACCCGUGGUUAACCUGCUCACGGUGUGAAGUUUAGAAGAUGAUCUGUUGAUCCGCUGGACGCUGCUCUCCAGAGUCUGACUCGUCCCCUCGCUGACAGGCAGACCCCAGCGCCCGGACUUCCUGCUCCUCUUUAAAUCGAACCGAUCGUGUUUUCUGUGCACGGCUGCGUCCGAACUUCUCAUCGCUCCUGCUUGCUGUUGGCUCAGGAGACGGAUCGGACGCCGAGCCCUUCUUUUAAACGCUCCGAGAGACGGUGCCUCCUCCACCCACGUCCCAGCUCAGCCCCGAGGAGUCACCUGAUCUGUAACAGUACUCCGGGCAGGCCGGCGAGGACUCAGACUCUUCAUCAGCUCAUUCACUGCAGACGAUGAGCCACCCAUCACCAGUGCACAAACACAGAGCCUUUAAAGAAGCGCAGAAAGGAAACUGUGAUGUUUGCACAGGGCUGGAGGUCUUUACAGCACUCUCCGAUUAUCGUAAAUCAAUAAAAAAAAUUAAAAACUGAUUAAAACUGAAAUCAGACGUCACAGUAAAUAUUUUAGGUGCAGAUUUAACCUCAGAAAAGAAACAAGUCACAAUGGAUUCAGUGAAGUUAUAAAUCCGAUUGAUUCUUGAUAUAAAAACACAUCUGUGAUAUUUUAUACUCUGAGAAAAGGAAUUAUUCUCUGGGAUCGGCCGUCAGAGGAAACAGAACACCACAAAAUCAUCACGUCUGCAGGUUAAACUUCCUGUCCAGGUGCACUUCGUUUCUAAUUUCGCUUAAUUAAAAACAUUAUUUAUUCACCCGGCCCUGCAGUUUAGCUGGAAAACCAUAGACUGUAUGCAAACAAUGGUACAGAAGUCCAGUUAUGGGACUCGAGUUAGCUGAGGUGAUGCCUACCAGACAGCUGCUUGUAGCACCACCCACCUGUCAGUCACAGAGGCCACGCCCCUAAUAAACUUUCAAUUAUCUA